CUACGGGCUGCUGCAGUGAGGAAUAUUGCACAAUGGGGGGAACCCUGAUGCAGCAACGCCGCGUGGAGGAUGACGCAUUUCGGUGUGUCAACUCCUUUUAUAUGUCAAGAAAAUGACGGUAGCAUAUGAAUAAGCGCCGGCUAACUCCGUGCCAGCAGCCGCGGUAAUACGGAGGGCGCAAGCGUUGCUCGGAAUCACUGGGCGUAAAGGACGCGUAGGCGGGUUGAAAAGUCAGGUGUGAAAGCCUACAGCUUAACUGUAGAACUGCACUUGAAACUCUCAAUCUAGAGUAUGGGAGGGGCAGAUGGAAUUAGUGGUGUAGGGGUAAAAUCCGUAGAUAUCACUAGGCAUACCUAAAGCGAAGGCGAUCUGAUGGAACAUUACUGACGCUAAGGCGUGAAAGCGUGGGGAGCAAACAGGAUUAGAUACCCUAGUAGUC
Molecule: ribosomal RNA, 439 nt
Filed under: uncultured bacterium
Lineage: Bacteria
Description: partial 16S ribosomal RNA
Rfam family: Bacterial small subunit ribosomal RNA
Source: RNAcentral